UGUAGAGACAAAGAGAUAGCAAGAGAGUCAUCAUCUUAUUCAUUGAUAGAAGCUCUUUAUAUAGGGAAUUACACAAUACCAAUAUGGUAAGGAUAUGAAUAUAUAGAUCUAGUCUAACUACAUAUCCUAUUGGCAUAAGGCCAAGACACACAUAGAGAAUAUCCUAGAACACUCCCCCUUGUGCCGCGCGCUGAUAUGCCGAUGGUGCUGAUCUGUUGCCUCGUCAAAAACCUCGUCAAGUCACAAAAACCCUGUGGGAGAAAAACUGAACCUUGAUCGUAGGAGAAAAAAAGUACAACGCACCAUUCACAUUUGAUAGUGACAUGUAUGUAUGUGCUAGACUUCCCCUGAAGUUCGCACCCCCCUGAUCUUUACAUCAAUCAUAGGGCUCUUCCUGAUUCUUACUAAUCACGGAAGUUUCAACAACUUAGCAUGUCAAUGCUUUUUAACAUAUCUUCAAAUGUGGCAUUGGGCAAUGAUUAACUAAAUCAUGCCGUAUUGUCCUCAAAUGAUCUUUUACACUUAGAUCUUGAGGAGAAGGUCGCUUGUGAACUCAAAACAUAAGUUCGUGCAGGAAAUUAGAUUUCCGCUCAACAUGACCUUCAAUUACUAGAACAGUCGUAACUUCCUCUAGGAAAUACAUAUGAACGAACCGUAAACGAUUUUGGAAACUAGACUCAUUUAGCUUUCCAACCGUAUAUUACACACAUUCUGGUUCAUCAGGAGCUGUUCACAAAGUCCCAUCGAAGUUGACUGUUUUGCCAAAAUCAGAUUCUCGGACAGAUUCGUCUUACUUUACGAAAACGGCCAUAACUCAUUCAAUAUGAUAGGUAUGAUCAAAUGGUUGGUGUCU
Molecule: long non-coding RNA, 853 nt
Filed under: Fragaria vesca (wild strawberry)
Lineage: Eukaryota; Viridiplantae; Streptophyta; Magnoliopsida; Rosales; Rosaceae
Description: long non-coding RNA (FVES_LNC005228)
Source: RNAcentral